This 2581-nucleotide long non-coding RNA is filed under the name Vitis vinifera (wine grape). RNAcentral describes it as "long non-coding RNA (VVIN_LNC001971)". The record is from RNAcentral. Lineage: Eukaryota; Viridiplantae; Streptophyta; Magnoliopsida; Vitales; Vitaceae.
GUAAUUGUCAUUGCCAGCAACGCAAGAAUAUUCGGGUGUUAUCCAAUUUGCUUGUCUGCUACUUUUAGGGAAAAUAUUUGGCUGUUAUUAUUCAUUUUUGAUGACCAUUCUUUACCGAUUGAUAAAGAAGCCGGGGGAUGUGGACCGCCUCCCACGAAGUGUAGUUUAGCUGUAAUGUAGUGACCAGGGAUUGGCUCCAUGAUCGUAUAAUUUUCUUUCCCACGCGGCCUGGGGGCUGUGGACCGCCUCCCACGAGGUGUAGCUUAAAUUGUAAUGUAGUGACCAAAGGGCUUGGCUCCAUGAUCGUGUAAUUUUCUGUCCCGCACGGUCUUUUUCGGGUUUUUUGAUGGUAGUACUGCGUCCAAGUUUCAGCUCCAUCUUGUGGUCCUAACGCAUUGAAAAGUGUAUCUGACGUAUCUCUACCUUUCGCCACAAAAAUGAAGGGGAAAAUCUUGUGCCAGAUUUAGGUAGGAUAUGAGUACCAAUUCUGGGUUCAGCCAGAAGUUGAAUGCAGGUAGAGGGGUUCCCACAUAUCCUCGUUUUAUAGUAUAUUUAAGUUCUAUCAGGAAAAGCUUGUGUUCCCAUACGCCACUGAAUCCUGCAAAUGGCAUUCAAACAAAACAUACCCGAUUUUGGCAUCCCCAUGAUGUUUUUUGAAUGUCAUCUUUUCGUUUCCUGUAAAUAAUUUCUUCAAUAAUGUAGGUAAGCAAAAUCUGAAAUCACACUGCUUUAGUCAUUUGUUCUCCGGAUUUUGUUUUGCCCAAAAAAAUCGGAGACGUAAUGGAAAUGAAAGUGGCGUUUUUUUGCUUGGGGUACCAGAAAAAAGGUCAGUCAUGGGACAUAUGACCAAACCCAUGAAGAUUAUAUCCAUUGGAUUCAAAUGCAUUUUUGGAAAGCAGAAAAUGUUAGUAUCGUAGCAUACAGAUGUUAUCCUUGAAAUCAAAACAGGUUGAGCAAACCACCCCACAGCACAAAACAUGCAUGAACAAUUUUAACAAACUUACUUUCACAACUUCCAAAUCAAACAGACUUACACUGCCAACUCGUCAUAGAAUCAGUCAUGCCAGACCCUUGUUGAGCUUCACCGCCAGGCUUCAAUCCGCUCCGUCCUUGAAUUUAUGCGGCUGAGAUUGCUGAUUCCCUUGGUCUUCUCCAGGGGUCCCGGUUCACAAACUGAAGAUGGCUGCCUGUUAAUUGUUUUGGGACCCUUUUUGAUAUUUGAAUUACUUGAUUGGCCACUUUUGCUCUUAAGAGGGUUUGCUUGAACCCCAGUUUUUGGACUAUCAACCGCAUAAACUUCUGUUUCAGCGACGAAUGUUUCAACUUGAGUUAGAGUCUCAAAAGAUCCAUCCAUGUUAGGGAGCGACUUCUCAAGAGAAGUUAAAAAACCAUGUGCUUCUCUAUCCUCCACGUGCUUGUUCUGAGUACAGUAAGGGGGGCUUUCUAAAACAGGUUCUUCCAUGAUGAAGGCUUGCUCUGUCUCUUCAUUGUCUUGUGCAGUAUUUUCUAGCCAGGUGGGCUGAGAAGGGCUCUGGUGUCCAUUCUCAUCAAAUGGCUCAAGGCUGGAAGUAGGAGCCGGCUCUACCAUUGAAUCUUCUCUUUCUCGUAGUGUCUUUAUGAUAAGUGUCUUGAGGAAAUUCAUGACUUGGACAGCAUACAUCAAUGCAGUCAGAGGAUCUGCCAUCUAUGAUGAGAAGAAAACAUAGAAGGCUGUUACCAAUGGUGUUAUUGAAACAGUUGCAGAACGAUAAAAUGAUAAAUUAUUGAUUGAAAUCUUAAAAUGCCUUUAUUUUCAGUGAGUGAUGAGAGAAAAACCCACUGAUUUAAAAUGCAAUGAGAACGUCAUAUUCAUUCAAUUUCAUCUGGACAUGCAAAUCCCUACUUGGACAAUUUUCAAGAAGCGUAAACCAUUCAACCUCACCUGAGUCAUGUUUGGUGCAAAGACCAUUGCAAUGUUGCGUGCAUUCAUUUUGUUUAGAUGCUCCUCCUGGACGACAUCUGCCAUGAGGUUGAUGGCCCAAUCCAGUAGAGCAGCUUCCGUAGGAGGCAGAAGCCUCACGAGCUCUGCACAUUCCUCUUCUGCUUGGCAUUGCAUUACCUGCUCAGGUGACAGAGAGUCCAAAACCCCAGUUGGGAGUUCUCUAAACCAAGCCUAUUGAAUCAAAUACACAUUAAAGUCAAUCUAAGAUUGAGACAGUUUGAUUUUAAAUGGAAGAGAAGUGAUGGAACAAAAUAAACAUGAAUUGAACUUUCUUGAUCAUCAUGAGGUUGAAUUGACUAUAAGACCUCAAGGUAUAUAAAAAAUAGGUAUCCAACUUCCUGAUUGAAAAAAAGUAUCUUUUGCACAAUUUAUUAACAGAAAAAUCAGCAGGCUUAAAAUUGUGGAGCUGUACCUUAAUAAGACCUGCUAGACAAUGUAAAUCUAUUCCUUCUGGUACCACUCCCCUAUUUAAUUGCUCUCUCACAUACUCCUCCUGGCUGUUUUCUGCAUUAAUUCUAAAAAUCCCUUCUGCCUGCAUUGAUAUUCAACAGUCUGAUGAAGUCUGGAAGAUGAUAAACUCAAUAUAGAUCUAAGUGAAAU